AUUUGAGCCUGAUUAGUUGAACAAUCAGUAGGCCUGAUUAGUUUAAAAAUUCUCUUUUGUAAGGAGAAAAAUAUUUUGAGGUGUUCCAGAGGCCCACUGUGUUACCUGCCACGUUGACUGAAAUGGCAGCAGUUGCCGGAGAAGUUGGACCUCAGUUCCUAAGUUCGGCAAAGAAAGAGUUCAGAGACAAGAACUCAAAUUAUAGGAGAAAGUUUAUUUAGAAAGUUCCAGAGGUAGUAAACGGGAGCCCUAGAAGAAAUGGGCUAAGGAAACUAGUUAUAGAGGCAAAAGAAGGGGCCCUGGGAGCUUAAAAAUGUACACUCAGAAGAUUUGAGUAGACGUGCUCUGGGGAGAGAGGGAGGGUCACCCUGGUUUUUGAUUUCAGAGGUUUGAGUAUCUCCGUUUAGGGGAAUUACCUGUGAAUUAGGUACAAAUUGGGGGCCCCCUGCUGUUUUUGGAUGGAUUCUGAAUGUUGUCCAAGGACUGGACUCUUGUGGUAUUGAUUUUUGAGGACCUUCAAGUGUUUUGCUUCUGGCAUGGUUUAAUUUUAUAGGUUUUCUUUCUCUUGCGUCUUCUCAAAAGCAGAGCUAUUCUUCCAAUUCCCAGUGGCAAGUGGAAACUGUGGUCCAUUAAGACGUUUCUUAUAAAAGAGAAUUUGGAAAAUGUUCUACGUGCCGGGGUUUUUAACCUUUUUUGUACACAGUACUCUUGGCAAUUUGGUGGAGUCUAUGGACUCCUCAGAAUACUGUUUUUUAAAUGUGUAAAAUAAAAGGCACGGUAUUAUAAAGGAGACCAAUUGUGUUUAAAUGCAGUUGUCAAAAUGUUAAAAACAAAAGUCUUUCUAUUUAACUUGUGUUGAGUGUAAAUCCUGUUCCGAAUGAUCUGCAACCACUGUUGCAUAAAGUGUCUGUGAUCUCUGUGGGUCAGCCACAGAUACUGACUGCUGCAGUGGUUUAUUGAAGAAAAUGCUAAAUUUCAGUUAGAGAUUAAUGAGAAAAUAUUUCUGUCCCUCCCACAUUUUGAAAUUUUAGUCCCAAGAGUCCUUUUUUUAAAAUCCAGUGGGAAGAAAAAUUAAGGAUUUGGAGCCGAAUGAUUAUGGGAUUGAGCCUCAUGUUCACUACUUACUACUAUCUACAUACUUUUGCAGCUCUGAGCCUUAACUUCCUCCCUGAUAGGGUAAUAGCACUGUGGAAUUGCAACAUAUUAUAUACCAAGAAUACCUGCAAAAAGCUAGAAUCCCACAGGUACCAUUACUAUCUCCACCUAUUGUCGCAAUGUACUGGUAUUGUCAUUUCGCCAGUUUGAGUGAAGCAUGAAAACCUUACCUCCCUUUCCAUCCCUGUACUCUCUCCUGUUUAUAAUAUAAUUAUUUUAAGUAUUUCCUCUACAGACAUAUAGAACCAUAUUAGACAUUAUUAUGAUUUUUGCUUCAACUGUCAAGCAUACUUUAGACAAUUGAAGAGAAGGAAAGCAUUCAUAUGUAUCCACAUUGUUGCUGUUCUUCCCAAGAUUCCUUCUUUUAUUAAUUCCUUUCUGUUUAGAGUAAAUCCACGGGUAACAAAUUCUCUUAUAUUUGCUUUAUCUUCAUUCCUGAAGGCUGUUUUUUUGGGAGGGGUAUAGGUUCUGGGUAAUAAUUCUUUUUGAUUAGCACCUGAAAAAUUGUGCCACUUCUGGUCUUCAUGGUUUCUGAUGAGAAAUGUGCUAUUUUUCUCAUUGUUCUUCCCCUAUAAGUAAGGUGUUUUUCUCUGUCUGCCUUCAAAAUUUUUUCUUUGUCUUUAAUUUUUAGAAGUUUAAUUAUGAUGUGUCUUGGUGUGGAUUUCUUUGGGUUUUUUCCAUGUUAGUUUUGCUCAGUUCCUUGAAUGUAUGUAUGUGUAGGUUUCUGUCUUGCCAAAUCUGGGAAAUUUUUAGCUGUUAUUUCUUCAAGUACUUUUUCAGCCCCACCCUCCUUGUCCUCUCCUUCUGCACUGUGAUGAUAUGAAUGUUUGAUCUUUUGUCAGAGUCCCACAGGGCCUUGAGGCUCUGCUCAUUUUUUUUUUUAAGUCUAUUUCUCUCUGUUUUGCAAUUGGGUAAUUUUUGUUGUUCUGUAUUCCCAUCCAUUGAUUAUUUCUUCUUCCUUUUCAUCUGCCAUUGAGACCAUCCUCUGAGCUGUUUGUUUUGGCCAUUCUAUUUUUCA
Molecule: long non-coding RNA, 2173 nt
Organism: Phyllostomus discolor (pale spear-nosed bat)
Lineage: Eukaryota; Metazoa; Chordata; Mammalia; Chiroptera; Phyllostomidae
Exons: 4
Source: RefSeq, a predicted model, not a curated record